CUCCCAACUGCCUUCAGACUGGCGCUGCUGGACUUAAACAGAUUUUUGCUCAACUCUGAAAGUGUUUGCUCUUGCCUCAGUUUCCCUUUUAACAGGAGAUACUAUAGCACAGUUCCUGGCUCAGCAAAUGUUACCUAUUUUUAAUGCCCAUGUCUGUGAUCUUUUAAAAAAAUGUACACAAACAUUUAUAUAGCAGUUUCAAAAGUAAACGUAAUAGUUACAGUAUUCACAACAACAAACAUGCACACACACAGAAGCAUGGAAGGGAGGAACUGCAUUAAAAUCAUAACUGUGCUUACUUUCAGAGUGGAUUAUUGCUGAUCCAUCUUUCUACCAUGCUUGUCUUUAUUCCUACAGUGAACAUGAAUUACUUUUGUAAUAAGAAACACAUUAUUCUUUACAGAGCUGCAGGAAUCAAUCCCAAGAAGAUCUGCUAUCUGUCCUUUUUCUCAUACCUCCUCAAACAUGGAUUCAAGAAGCUCCAACAUCAGCCCUUGUUCUCACUGCCCCCGACCCCCGCCAUGUGGAUUCAUUUAAAUUGGGGACUUUAUGGCCACCCCUCCUGGUUCUUUCUGGGCAGAGGGAGAAGCACAUUUGCAUUCUGGAUGCUGGCAAUUAUAGACCAGGACAGAGAAUGGGGACAUGAAUAAUGGAGGUGCCCAACAUUAGCACAACACUCUAUCCAUCACUGCCAAAGGGCAUAAGGUAACCCUGGAAACAGUCCUGGGGAGAGGGGAAGGGAGGGGAGUGCAGGUUCCUGGGCACCAUGAUUUACCUGCUCAGCAGAGGAGGGAACCUCUACACUAGAAGGGGCCACAGCUUUUGAACUUGUAUGUCUAUAGUGAUAUUUAUAAUAUGAUCAUUAUGUGGAGCUGAUUCAUCGUACAAGUGACAAUGUAGAGAUUUUCUAGGCAGGCAUUUGAUUUUAAAUAUAUGUGUUCCCUGUUUGAAGGCAGGGAAUGACCUCUUGUGAAGUUUUGCCUGAAAGGCUUUAUCAAGGAAUGCGUGCAUGCAUGCUAAGUCACUUCAGUCGUGUCUGACUCUUUGCGAUCCUAUGGACUGUAGCCUGCCAGGCUUCUCUGUCCAUGAGUUUUUCCAGGCAAGAACACUGGAGUGGGUUGGCAAGCCCUCCUCCAGAGGAUCUUCUGGACCUAGGGACCAAACCCGUGUCUCUUACGUCUUGUCGUCUGCUUUGGCAGGUGGGUUCUUUACCGCUAGCACCACCUGGGAAGCCCCUAUCAAGGAAUAAUUCUCCAGAAAUCAGAAGGAAGGGUUACUCUGACCAACUGGCCAUGGAUUAAAGAAGUGCACGAUAAUAGGACUUCCCUGGUGGUCCAGUGGCUAAGAUUUUGAGCUCUCGAUGUAGAGGACCUGGGUUUGAUCCCUGGUCUGGGAACUAGAUUCCAUAUGCUGCAACUAAAAGUUCACAUACCCUGACUAAAGAUCCCAUGUGCUGCAAGGGAGACCCGGCGCUGCCAAAUAUAUAAGUAUUAAAAAAGAAGUGUAUGACAGUAUGGGCAGCAGGGGAUGGGGAAGGCUAGGGGACUGCACAGAGUGAUUCUCAGCCCCACUGAGCGAUCAUACCACAGGACACAUUCUUAGACAGGUAAGCUCUGCCGACUGGAUGCCUCCGUAUAUUGCGUGGCACUGGCACGGCUGAGACCCUGCUCUGUCUGAUUCCUGGGCUCUCUGGCUCUCAAGACUGUCUUCUGUGUCCAAGUCAGGAGUGUGUAGGAGACAGUUACCAAACAGGUGAUUUGCAGAAAAUGAUUGCCAGUUUGUACCUCUUUUUUGGUUUCCUUGAGCUGAGAGGGUUAAAAUGGUGAGAAAGCUCAGAAGGACAGCACCCUAAAGGUAAAUGGAAAGUAAAAGUGCGAAAGCGUUAGUCGCUCAGUCCUAUCUGACUCUGUGAUCCCAUGGGCUGUAGCCCGCCAGGCUGCUCUGUCCGUGGAAUUCUCCAGGCAAGAAUACUGGAGUGGGUAGCCAUGCCCUGCUCCAGGGGAUCUUCCUGACCCAGGGAUUAAGCCGGGUCUCCCACAUUGCAGGCAGAUUCUUUACCAUCUGAGCCACCAGGGAAGCUCAGGUAGUAAAUUAGGCAUAGAGAAAGCCUCAUUUUCUGUUUCUGAGAAGUAUUCUUUCUUUCCAUUGUCCACUGAGACCUGAAGGCUACUCUUUCCAGAGGGAAUGGGACUUUUUGUUUCUGUUGGUUUCUGUGUUGUGUGACUCAGCCCUGGUUGGAGCUGAAAUGUGACCUAAAGCCACAAUGGGCUGAGUCACGUGUGCUGUGUCUCCGGCUUCCCCUGAAGUACUUUGUUUGGAGAGAAUUAUAACUGAAAAGGAAACGUUCCUUCUGGCCAGAAACUAGGCUUAGAAAUGCUCAUUUGGGGAAGCUCUUUUUGCUUGCCAUUUAAAUAAACCCACUGAUAGAAAUCA
Molecule: long non-coding RNA, 2433 nt
Filed under: Bos indicus x Bos taurus (hybrid cattle)
Lineage: Eukaryota; Metazoa; Chordata; Mammalia; Artiodactyla; Bovidae
Description: lncRNA (ENSBIXG00005027096.1)
Source: RNAcentral